Molecule: long non-coding RNA, 898 nt
Organism: Nicotiana attenuata
Lineage: Eukaryota; Viridiplantae; Streptophyta; Magnoliopsida; Solanales; Solanaceae
Exons: 2
Source: RefSeq, a predicted model, not a curated record
UUGUGUUUAGAAUAUUAAUUAUCUAUAAGCCAUCAAAAGUAUGAUGGCCUAAACAAUGAUAUUUAUUCAAUAAAGAGGCCAUCUUUUCUCUAUAUAAACAUCUUAGGAUGAACAUUAACAUAUUCUUUGUUAGUCUUCUUAAUAAUGGUCCGAUCUGAUACUAGGAAGAUGAACAAAAAUCAGAAUCAGUCUAAUCUUACUGUCCCUUGAAAGGAAAUCAUUAAUGACGCUGUGGCUAAUUGAUAAGGAAAGGAAGAACAGUUUAAUUUCAACCAGUUAUCUAUCAAUAGGCGAGAUCAAACUGUUAUAUAUAUUAUUAUGGUCAACUUGGAGAUAUCAGGGGAAAACCAUCAUCUCUAUCAGGCGAGUACAAUCAUAUCCUUCAUUAAACUUUGGGGAUCGCCAUUAACAUUGAGGUCUAUGUUACAUGCACUCGGGCUGGUAGUGGUAUUGGAUACAGAUAAGCUGAUUAGCCUGGGCUAGCGCUUGGAGGCAACUUCCAUCUGAUCUUUCAAGAGAUCUAAUCUUUCUUUUCUUGAAUCCUUGAAGGGGAGCCUUGGCGUAAUUGGUAAAGUUGCUGUCAUGUGACCAGGAUGGGUUUGAGCCGCGGGAAACAACCUCUUGCAGAAAUGCAGGGUAAGGCUGCGUACGAUAGACCCUUGUGGUCCGGCUCUUCCUCGGACCUCGCGCAUUACGAAAGCUUAGUGCACCAGGUUGCCUUUUAUUUCUUGAAUCCGCAGACUAGCUAGCUGAUCAGACUCUACAGGAAUUAUUAGUCAAAAGUCUUUACAUUUUGCUUAAACUUCAUUACAGUUACUAUUAAUGUAGGUGCUCCUUUUGUGGAGAUGUACUGAUCAUUGAAAGCCCGAAAGCUGCUUGUAUAUUUCAGCUUUAUUCA